GCUGGCGGCGUGCUUAACACAUGCAAGUCGUACGAGAAAUCUUCUGCUUGCAGGGGAGAGUAAAGUGGCGUACGGGUGAGUAAUGCGUGGGUAAUCUACCCUUGAAUUCGGGAUAACAUAUCGAAAGGUGUGCUAAUACCGGAUGAAGUCCAUAGGGCUGCGGUUUUAUGGAUGAAAGGUGGCCUCUACAUGUAAGCUACUGUUUGGGGAUGAGCCUACGUACCAUUAGCUAGUUGGUAGGGUAAAGGCCUACCAAGGCGACGAUGGUUAGCUGGUCUGAGAGGAUGAUCAGCCACACUGGAACUGGAACACGGUCCAGACUCCUACGGGAGGCAGCAGUGAGGAAUUUUGCGCAAUGGGGGCAACCCUGACGCAGCAACGCCGCGUGAGUGAAGAAGGCUUUCGGGUCGUAAAGCUCUGUCGAAGCGGGAAGAAGGUGGGCUAUUUGAACAGGAUAGUCUAUUGACGGUACCGCAGAAGGAAGCACCGGCUAACUCC
RNAcentral lists this ribosomal RNA (498 nucleotides) under uncultured bacterium. RNAcentral describes it as "bacterial SSU rRNA". It matches the Rfam family "Bacterial small subunit ribosomal RNA", at positions 35 to 504 of the family's 1533-position model. The record is from RNAcentral.